GUACGCCUCAAUACGUUACACAAUAGGAUUAACCCAUCUCGUUAAUAAACAGUAUUCAUCUAUCGUAUCGUUUUUUUUUUUUUUUGUCUAUGAAUCUGGAGAAAAGAAUACUAAAAUAUGUGUUUAGAACCCUCGCAGGGUGCGUUUUAUUUUAUCAAUCAGUAGGCGAGUUUACAGGACCUCUUCUCUUUUUUAAACGGUAACUCGCCAUUCGAUACAGUUCUUUACAACCAACUCUAUAACCUUCCGCAGUCCUCGUUUUC
Non-coding RNA from Cinara cedri, 263 nucleotides. Lineage: Eukaryota; Metazoa; Arthropoda; Insecta; Hemiptera; Aphididae. The record is from the annotation of a GenBank genome assembly.